Molecule: long non-coding RNA, 854 nt
Organism: Tympanuchus pallidicinctus (lesser prairie-chicken)
Lineage: Eukaryota; Metazoa; Chordata; Aves; Galliformes; Phasianidae
Exons: 3
Source: RefSeq, a predicted model, not a curated record
CCCCCCCCCCCCAAGGCUCAAGACACGGAAGAUCCCAUAUCCCACCCGAAAUCCCUUCACGUGGCUCUUCCUGCUCGUGGUCCUGUCCCAACUACACCUAUGAGGUCGGUUCCUGGAUCGGGUUUACCAUCAUGACGCAGUGUCUGCCUGUGGCCCUGUUCUCGCUGGUGGGCUUCGUGCAGAUGGCGAUAUGGGCGCAGGGGAAGCACCGCAGCUACCUGCGGGAGUUCCGCGAUUACCCACCGCUGCGCUCCCCCAUCGUCCCCUUCCUGCUGUGAGGGGACACCGCCACCACCCCCCAGCCCAGGGGACAGCGGGGGGGGACGGCGGGGUGACGGGGGGCACCCGAGAGACAAUGGAUGUCUGGGUGAUGGGGGGCACCCGAGCGACAAAGGACACCCGAGCGACGGGGGACAUUUGGGUGACAGGGGACGUCUGGGUGACAGGGGGCACUUGGGUGACAAAGGACACCUGGGUGACAAAGGACAUCUGGGUGACGGAGAGCACGUGGCUGACAAGCAACAGUUGGGUGACAAAAGGCAUCCGGGUGACAAAAGGCCCCUGGGUGACAGAGGGCCUUGGUGACAAAGGGCGCUUAGGUGACAAUGGGCCUUGGGUGACAAAGGACAUCUGGGUGGCACCUUGGGGACAGCAGACCCCCCCCGCCUGGUGCUGGAUGCAGUCAUGGCGCCCCCAUCCCACGCUGUCACCGCUUGUCACACGGGGCCGGGUGUGACCCCAUGUCACCAUUCCACGGGCUCAGGGAUGAUCGGUGUCACCACAAGGGACGCGUGACCGUUCCGUGGGGUCACGUGUGGCACCUGUCACUCACGUGUGGCACCUGUCACUCACGU